CAUGUUGUUAAAUCAUUACGAGAAAAGUGUGAGCUGCUGCUUUUGCUGUUGUAGUGGAAUAAUGCAARUACCAGUUAAAGUUUUACAAGUUCCUGUAGCUGGAGCAUGAACUGACACAUUGCUAUCUCAAUAAUCUGGCACACCCCACAGGUCUCUGUGCACCUUGGGCAUGUUGGCUUGGAAGAAUUUUACUUUUCUAAACGUUGGGGAGGUAGUAAGGCACAGAUAUAAAAGGCAAUGCAAGAUGUUCAUGAUGCAGGAGAUUUUCUAAACUUUUCUUGACUACUUUUAUAGGAACUUUUUCAGCACCACUGUGACAAGGCAGAUUUCCAAAGCAGCAUGUUUGAGUCCUGUUGCUGUUGGACAUUAAUGGUUGAAUCCCUGUGAUGCUUGGAAAAGGUAACAUGAAACAGUCUAUAGACACCAAAUGAAGAAGCAUUGUGCAAGAUGUAGCCUUUUGUGAAGCACUGAAAAUCAAAAUCCUCUGCACACAUGGAAGAAGCAGAUUCACACCUCCCUAGGAAGAUGAGCAGAAGUGAUCAGUCACUGUUGCCAGGAACAUUCUGCCUUUGUCAGAAGAGCUCUCAAGGAGCCCAGGGAAAUCAACCCAGCUGAAGAGAUGCUGACCUGCUGAGGCUUAACUAGAAGAUCCCUUGACACAAAUUCCUGUAAGUGUAUUUAUACAGGGUUAUUUAUAACCCUUGGCCAAUUCCAAGGGCCUGAGGAUUCCUAGAGCUGAAAGCGUGAGCYCUGACAACUACAGUCUAAAUUAAGUGAAAAUGCUGAAUUUAGCAGAGAACACAGACAGAAAUUCCGUGUCACUUGUG
This is a long non-coding RNA of Malurus melanocephalus (red-backed fairy wren), 827 nucleotides long. RefSeq lists it as uncharacterized. The record is from RefSeq and is a predicted model, not a curated record. The transcript is spliced from 3 exons. NCBI's taxonomy places the organism in Eukaryota, Metazoa, Chordata, Aves, Passeriformes, Maluridae.